GACGAACGCUGGCGGCGUGCCUAACACAUGCAAGUCGAACGGAGAAUUUCAAUAAGUUUACUUAGAGAAAUUUUUAGUGGCGGACGGGUGAGUAACGCGUGGGUAACCUACCCAUAAACUCGGGACAACCCUUGGAACGAGGCUAAUACCGAAUAAUCUUAAGAAACGGCAUCGUUUUUUAAGGUAAAGGUGGCCUCUGUAUAUGCUACCGAUUAUGGAUGGACCCGCGUCUGAUUAGCUAGUUGGUGGGGUAAAGGCCUACCAAGGCGACGAUCAGUAGCCGGCCUGAGAGGGUGAACGGCCACACUGGGACUGAGACACGGCCCACGACUCCUACGGGAGGCAGCAGUGGGGAAUCUUCCGCAAUGGACGAAAGUCUGACGGAGCAACGCCGCGUGUAUGAUGAAGGU
RNAcentral lists this ribosomal RNA (410 nucleotides) under uncultured bacterium. RNAcentral describes it as "bacterial SSU rRNA". It matches the Rfam family "Bacterial small subunit ribosomal RNA", at positions 28 to 415 of the family's 1533-position model. The record is from RNAcentral.